AGAGUUUGAUCCUGGCUCAGAACGAACGCUGGCGGCAGGCUUAACACAUGCAAGUCGAACGCUCGUAGCAAUACGGGAGUGGCAGACGGGUGAGUAACGCGUGGGAACAUACCCUCCGGUUCGGAAUAGCUCAGGGAAACUUGGAUUAAUACCGGAUACGGCCGAGAGGCGAAAGAUUUAUCGCCGGAGGAUUGGCCCGCGUUCGAUUAGCUAGUUGGUGAGGUAAUGGCUCACCAAGGCUAUGAUCGAUAGCUGGUCUGAGAGGAUGAUCAGCCACAUUGGGACUGAGACACGGCCCAAACUCCUACGGGAGGCAGCAGUGGGGAAUAUUGGACAAUGGGCGCAAGCCUGAUCCAGCCAUGCCGCGUGAGUGAUGACGGCCUUAGGGUUGUAAAGCUCUUC
Molecule: ribosomal RNA, 402 nt
Filed under: uncultured bacterium
Lineage: Bacteria
Description: bacterial SSU rRNA
Rfam family: Bacterial small subunit ribosomal RNA
Source: RNAcentral